ACGUAGGGUGCGAGCGUUAAUCGGAAUUACUGGGCGUAAAGCGUGCGCAGGCGGUCUGUUAAGACCGAUGUGAAAUCCCCGGGCUUAACCUGGGAACUGCAUUGGUGACUGGCAGGCUUUGAGUGUGGCAGAGGGAGGUAGAAUUCCACGUGUAGCAGUGAAAUGCGUAGAGAUGUGGAGGAAUACCGAUGGCGAAGGCAGCCUCCUGGGCCAACACUGACGCUCAUGCACGAAAGCGUGGGGAGCAAACAGGA
This 254-nucleotide ribosomal RNA is filed under the name uncultured prokaryote. RNAcentral's name for it is "partial 16S ribosomal RNA". It matches the Rfam family "Bacterial small subunit ribosomal RNA", at positions 525 to 777 of the family's 1533-position model. The record is from RNAcentral.